Molecule: ribosomal RNA, 253 nt
Filed under: uncultured bacterium
Lineage: Bacteria
Description: partial 16S ribosomal RNA
Rfam family: Bacterial small subunit ribosomal RNA
Source: RNAcentral
UACGUAGGGUGCGAGCGUUAAUCGGAAUUACUGGGCGUAAAGCGUGCGCAGGCGGUGAUGUAAGACAGGUGUGAAAUCCCCGGGCUUAACCUGGGAACUGCAUUUGUGACUGCAUCGCUGGAGUGCGGCAGAGGGGGAUGGAAUUCCGCGUGUAGCAGUGAAAUGCGUAGAUAUGCGGAGGAACACCGGUGGCGAAGGCGGGUCUCUGGGCCGAUACUGACGCUGAUGCACGAAAGCGUGGGGAUCAAACAGG